CCUACGGGAGGCAGCAGUAGGGAAUAUUGCUCAAUGGGGGAAACACUGAAGCAGCAACGCCGCGUGGAGGAUGAAGGUUUUCGGAUUGUAAACUCCUUUUGUUAGAGAAGAUAAUAACGGUAUCUAACGAAUAAGCACCGGCUAACUCCGUGCCAGCAGCCGGGGUAAUACGGCGGGUGCAAGCGUUACUCGGAAGCACUGGGCGUAAAGAGGGCGUAGGCGGGGUAGCAAGUCAGAUGUGAAAUCCUAGGGGUUAACCAUAGAACUCCCUUUGAAACUGUUAGUCUAGAGUAUGGGAGGGGUAGGUGGAAUUCUUGGUGUAGUGGUAAAAUCCGUAGAGAUCAAGAGGAAUACUCAUUGCGAAGGCGACCUGCUAGAACAUAACUGACGCUGAUGCGCGAAAGCGUGGGGAGCAAACAGGAUUAGAUACCCGAGUAGUC
Molecule: ribosomal RNA, 440 nt
Filed under: uncultured bacterium
Lineage: Bacteria
Description: partial 16S ribosomal RNA
Rfam family: Bacterial small subunit ribosomal RNA
Source: RNAcentral